UGACCUCGGAGCAGGUAGGGAUACCCGCUGAACUUAA
RNAcentral lists this ribosomal RNA (37 nucleotides) under unidentified. Its description in RNAcentral is "Aspergillus parvisclerotigenus partial 28S ribosomal RNA". The record is from RNAcentral.